Molecule: ribosomal RNA, 1458 nt
Filed under: uncultured organism
Description: SSU rRNA
Rfam family: Bacterial small subunit ribosomal RNA
Source: RNAcentral
CGGCGUGCCUAAUACAUGCAAGUAGAACGCUGAAGAGAGGAGCUUGCUCUUCUUGGAUGAGUUGCGAACGGGUGAGUAACGCGUAGGUAACCUGCCUUGUAGCGGGGGAUAACUAUUGGAAACGAUAGCUAAUACCGCAUAACAAUGGAUGACACAUGUCAUUUAUUUGAAAGGGGCAAUUGCUCCACUACAAGAUGGACCUGCGUUGUAUUAGCUAGUAGGUGAGGUAAUGGCUCACCUAGGCGACGAUACAUAGCCGACCUGAGAGGGUGAUCGGCCACACUGGGACUGAGACACGGCCCAGACUCCUACGGGAGGCAGCAGUAGGGAAUCUUCGGCAAUGGGGGCAACCCUGACCGAGCAACGCCGCGUGAGUGAAGAAGGUUUUCGGAUCGUAAAGCUCUGUUGUAAGUCAAGAACGGGUGUGAGAGUGGAAAGUUCACACUGUGACGGUAGCUUACCAGAAAGGGACGGCUAACUACGUGCCAGCAGCCGCGGUAAUACGUAGGUCCCGAGCGUUGUCCGGAUUUAUUGGGCGUAAAGCGAGCGCAGGCGGUUUGAUAAGUCUGAAGUUAAAGGCUGUGGCUCAACCAUAGUUCGCUUUGGAAACUGUCAAACUUGAGUGCAGAAGGGGAGAGUGGAAUUCCAUGUGUAGCGGUGAAAUGCGUAGAUAUAUGGAGGAACACCGGUGGCGAAAGCGGCUCUCUGGUCUGUAACUGACGCUGAGGCUCGAAAGCGUGGGGAGCGAACAGGAUUAGAUACCCUGGUAGUCCACGCCGUAAACGAUGAGUGCUAGGUGUUGGAUCCUUUCCGGGAUUCAGUGCCGCAGCUAACGCAUUAAGCACUCCGCCUGGGGAGUACGACCGCAAGGUUGAAACUCAAAGGAAUUGACGGGGGCCCGCACAAGCGGUGGAGCAUGUGGUUUAAUUCGAAGCAACGCGAAGAACCUUACCAGGUCUUGACAUCCCGAUGCUAUUUCUAGAGAUAGAAAGUUACUUCGGUACAUCGGUGACAGGUGGUGCAUGGUUGUCGUCAGCUCGUGUCGUGAGAUGUUGGGUUAAGUCCCGCAACGAGCGCAACCCCUAUUGUUAGUUGCCAUCAUUCAGUUGGGCACUCUAGCGAGACUGCCGGUAAUAAACCGGAGGAAGGUGGGGAUGACGUCAAAUCAUCAUGCCCCUUAUGACCUGGGCUACACACGUGCUACAAUGGUUGGUACAACGAGUUGCGAGUCGGUGACGGCGAGCUAAUCUCUUAAAGCCAAUCUCAGUUCGGAUUGUAGGCUGCAACUCGCCUACAUGAAGUCGGAAUCGCUAGUAAUCGCGGAUCAGCACGCCGCGGUGAAUACGUUCCCGGGCCUUGUACACACCGCCCGUCACACCACGAGAGUUUGUAACACCCGAAGUCGGUGAGGUAACCUUUUGGAGCCAGCCGCCUAAGGUGGGACAGAUGAUUGGGGUG